UGUUCGUGCCAGCUUGUGGCGUCCUGAAGCUAGGUUUGGCUUGAAAAUGUCGUUCCCUAAAGAAAAUAAGAAUAGGAUAGGUUUGUACAGUUUGAUUUACGGAGUAAUCUGUUAUAAUGUUGAAGGACCAAAGUAAAUAAUAAUUUAGUUUAAAGGUUACGAUAUGACAGACAGCUUUGGUAAAUGGAAAAAAGGAAACAAGAACUUGAAACUGUCAUCUAACCAAAAUUUGAAGAAAAUUGAGCCAAAAAACCAAGAGCCAGAUAAAAAGCGAGGACCCAUUGACAUCGUCACUCGUAAAAAGCAACUCUUCUGAAGAUAUUUUCAUUUCUAGCUUAUUUACCAAUAUUGCAACUCGGGGUGUUUCUUCAGCUCAAGAUCUCGAUAGUAACAAAGUUGGUGUUGACCACAAUAGUUUUACCCAAAAAAUUUACACGAGGAACCAUGCUUCCAAUCCUGAAAGAACUGCAAUAUCGUCUAGCAGCUAAACUCUCAUAAUUCACAGGGAGAAAAUGAAACCCUAACUUGAGCGGAAGUUAGAUAAAUUGAAGAAGAGAUACCAAAAAGGAAAAAUAAAAAGGUGACGCCCAAAAUAGCAAAACUUUCAACAACCAGAAAAAGUAAAAAUUUUGGAAGGCAAAAGUAAAGUUGAGAAGGCAAGAAGCAUUGUAGGGAAACAGGCAUUGGAAGGUUCUCUUCAAAGAGCUGAAGGUUUAAGGUAAAAGACGAUGUGAAUUGCUUGCUAAAUCAGUUAAAAAACGCGAUAAAAUCAAAUCACAAAGUAAAAAUAAGUGGACCAAUGCAUUGAAGAACAGAAAAGGAGAAAAGCUAACAUUAAGAAACAUGAAAAGAAAGAACCUAAACUAAUGAAAUAAGGCCAAUUUAUCAUAUUAAUGAGCGAUACUGACUCUUGGAUGAGUUAACUCGUGUUCUAUUAUGUCCAAAACGUGUUAUAGUUUUGUAUUAAAAUACACUGGCAUGAUUCCCAUGU
This is a long non-coding RNA of Daphnia carinata, 991 nucleotides long. RefSeq lists it as uncharacterized. The transcript has 3 exons. Lineage: Eukaryota; Metazoa; Arthropoda; Branchiopoda; Diplostraca; Daphniidae. The record is from RefSeq and is a predicted model, not a curated record.